CGGGGGGUAGAGCACUGUUUCGGCUAGGGGGUCAUCCCGACUUACCAACCCGAUGCAAACUACGAAUACCGAAGAAUGUUAUCACGGGAGACACACGGCGGGUGCUAACGUCCGUCGUGAAGAGGGAAACAACCCAGACCGCCAGCUAAGGUCCCAAAGUCAUGGUUAAGUGGGAAACGAUGUGGGAAGGCACAGACAGCCAGGAUGUUGGCUUAGAAGCAGCCAUCAUUUAAAGAAAGCGUAAUAGCUCACUGGUCGAGUCGGCCUGCGCGGAAGAUGUAACGGGGCUAAACCAUGCACCGAAGCUGCGGCAGCGACGCUUAGGCGUUGUUGGGUAGGGGAGCGUUCUGUAAGCCUGCGAAGGUGGCCUGUGAGGGCUGCUGGAGGUAUCAGAAGUGCGAAUGCUGACAUAAGUAACGAUAAAGCGGGUGAAAAGCCCGCUCGCCGGAAGACCAAGGGUUCCUGUCCAACGUUAAUCGGGGCAGGGUGAGUCGACCCCUAAGGCGAGGCCGAAAGGCGUAGUCGAUGGGAAACAGGUUAAU
Molecule: ribosomal RNA, 542 nt
Filed under: uncultured bacterium
Lineage: Bacteria
Description: bacterial LSU rRNA
Rfam family: Bacterial large subunit ribosomal RNA
Source: RNAcentral